CUGGCUUCAGGUGCAGAAGAUCUUCGAUCCCGAAACCGGCCUUCCGACGCUCCACGCGCCGAUCACGACGCUGCUCGUCAUAGUUCCCGUUCUCGUCGCCGCGGCGCUCGGCACGGCCCUUUGUGUCGGCGCAACGGCGGGCGAACGACUUGAUCGAAUUGAAGACACGAAAACCCUGCGCGUCGGAACGCCGGGUGACUACAGGCCCUUCGCCAUGAAGGAAAACGGGCGCUACGUCGGCCACGACGUGGAGCUCCUUGAAGCCAUGGCCAAGGCCGCGGGCUGGAAGGUCGAGUACGUCGACACGUCCUGGCCCAAGCUUUCGGCCGACUUCAAGGCCGACAAGUUCGACGUCGCGAUGGGCGGCAUCACGCCCACGGUGGCGCGAUUGAAGCUCGGCGCCUUUUUGCCGGGUUACGUCACCUUCGGAAAGGUGGCGCUCGUGAACGCUUCGAAGGCGAAGAAGUUCACGACGCACGAGAGCCUCAACCGGCCCGACGUGCGCGUCAUCAAGAAUCCGGGCGGCACGAAUGAAAAGUACGUGCUCGAACACCUGACGAAGGCCCAGGUCUCGACCCACCCGAACAACGCCGAAAUCCCGGGCCUCAUCGCCGAAGGCAAGGGCGACGUCAUGAUUACGGAAACCAUGGAGGCGAAGCUCUACGCAAAGAAGUACGCGGGAAAGCUUCACGCCGCCUUCAUCGAAAAGCCGCUCACACCCAAGAGCGUGAUGGGUUUCUGGAUGCCCGCGGACGACGCCGAGUAUCUUCGCGUGAUGCGCUAUCUCUGGGACAUCACGGAACUUCGCGGCGAACACGCGGCGCUCGCGAAGACCUGGCUCGAAUGAUGCCGGUCUGACUGCCGCCGACGCGCAAACGACAAGGCCCGGGCGACGAACCCGGGCCUUCGCGUCUUCGGAACGGUGCCUUCAGCACUGUUUGGGACAGCGGUAGUAGGCGAGAAGCUUCGGACGGUAGAAGACGAGGGCCGUGAGGAGCGUGAAGAGCGCCACGCCCGCCAUGAUUUCGAGGGCCGGGUGGUAGCUGCGGCCUUCCAGAAUGCGGCGCGCGACGAGUUCGUAGGUCGAAUACGCCCAUUCGCAGGUGUAGCAGAGAAGACAGAGCUGCUGCAGACGGUUCAUGUAGCGCACCGGCACGAAGGCGAGAACGAGCGCUACGAUCGGGAGCGCGACGACCCACAGGGCGGCGCCGUGAAAGAGAAGAUGCGCCGCGAACAAAACGUGCGCGAGCGCGGGAAGAAUGAGCCAAAGCAUGGUUGGUAAGGGUUUGGUCGUGAGGGACGAUUCGAUCGUCCCCGUUAUUUUUGAGAACGGUUGCGGGGCUUUUCGGGCGCUUCCUUCGUGAACUGGUACCACAUGUGCUUGAUGGUGAGCACGGGAUGCGAAAAGAUGAGGCGCGGACCCGCCCAGCGCAUGAUGUCGCGGGCGCGGGCCUUUUCGGCCGGGCGGUAACAGUGGAUCUUGCACCGCGCGCAGGCGGGCUUGUCCGCCCCGUAGGGGCAGCAGGCGAGGCGCUUCAGGGCGUAGGCGAGAAACUCGCGGCAGUUGUCGCAGAGCUCCCCUUUUUUCGUGCCGUGAUGCGCGUGGCAAAAACUCGCCAAAGUUCUGACCCGCACGAAUGGCGUAAUGAUUUGGGCACUGUCUCAACAGCCCGCCCGGCGAAAUUGUAGUACUGGUGAAGAUGCCAGUUACCCGCAACUAGACGGAAAGACCCCAUGGAGCUUUACUGCAGCUUAAUACUGAAAUUCGGUAGUACAUGUACAGGAUAGGUGGGAGACUGAGAAAUACAGGCGUCAGCUUGUAUGGAGUCGCUGUUGGGAUACCACUCUUGUACUGCUGGGUUUCUAACCUGCGGCCGUGAAUCCGGUCGGGGGACACUGUUAGGCGGGCAGUUUGACUGGGGCGGUCGCCUCCCAAAAGGUAACGGAGGCGCUCAAAGGUUCGUUCAGCACGGACGGAAAUCGUGCAAUGAGUGUAAACGCAUAAACGAGCCUAACUGCGACACCGACGGGUGGAGCAGUAACGAAAGUUGGAGUUAGUGAUCCGGUGGUAUGUGAGUGGAAAUGCCAUCGCUCAACGGAUAAAAGCUACCCUGGGGAUAACAGGCUGAUCUCCCCCAAGCGUCCACAGCGACGGGGAGGUUUGGCACCUCGAUGUCGGCUCGUCGCAUCCUGGGGCUGAAUUCGGUCCCAAGGGUUUGGCUGUUCGCCAAUUAAAGCGGCACGCGAGCUGGGUUCAGAACGUCGUGAGACAGUUCGGUCCCUAUCUGUUGCGGGCGUAAGAGAUUUGAAGGGAGCUGUCCUUAGUACGAGAGGACCGGGAUGGACGUACCUCUGGUGCACCAGUUGUCCUGCCAAGGGCAUAGCUGGGUAGCUAUGUACGGACGAGAUAAACGCUGAAAGCAUCUAAGCGUGAAACUCCCCCUAAGAUGAGAUCUCUCAUCCUUCAAGGAGUAAGGACCCAGAAAGACGAUCUGGUUGAUAGGCCGAAGGUGGAAGCGCAGUAAUGUGUGCAGCUGAUCGGUACUAAUAGUCCGAGGGCUUGACCU
RNAcentral lists this ribosomal RNA (2567 nucleotides) under human gut metagenome. Its description in RNAcentral is "bacterial LSU rRNA". The stretch from base 1687 to 2556 matches the Rfam family "Bacterial large subunit ribosomal RNA", at positions 2045 to 2912 of the family's 2925-position model. The record is from RNAcentral.